Molecule: non-coding RNA, 74 nt
Organism: Seriola aureovittata
Lineage: Eukaryota; Metazoa; Chordata; Actinopteri; Carangiformes; Carangidae
Source: the annotation of a RefSeq genome assembly
GGCGCUGUGGCUCAGUGGGUUAAAGUGCCUGUCUAGUAAACAGGAGAUCCUGGGUUCAAAUCCCGACAGUGCCU